UCUACCAAAGGCAUAGCUGAGUAGCCAAGUCUGGACGGGAUAAACGCUGAAGGCAUCUAAGCGUGAAGCCCCCCUCAAGAUGAGAUAUCCCCUCCAUAAGGAGAUAAGAUCCCUUAAAGACGAUAAGGUAGAUAGGUUCAAGGUGUAAGUGUGGUAACACACUCAGCUGAUGAAUACUAAUAGAUCGAAGGUUUAUUCU
RNAcentral lists this ribosomal RNA (199 nucleotides) under Pseudobutyrivibrio sp. ACV-2. RNAcentral describes it as "23S rRNA. Bacterial LSU". It matches the Rfam family "Bacterial large subunit ribosomal RNA", at positions 2725 to 2925 of the family's 2925-position model. Lineage: Bacteria; Bacillati; Bacillota; Clostridia; Lachnospirales; Lachnospiraceae. The record is from RNAcentral.